UUUUCUUCAUAUUUACAAAAUUCUACGAGUUAGGAGUAAAUAACAAAAAGAGUUUAUCUUUUUCUUAUUCUCUUCCUCCUUCUCCAAACCUUCACCACUACCACUUGUUCUGUCUCCAUCUUUCUCUCCGCCACUUCUAGUGCAAUCACCAACACAAUCAUGAUCCAACCUAAUUUAUCCGUUUGUUUAUUUUUAUUACCAAUCCAUCUUCUCUUCUUUAAUACUACUAAAAUCACCUCCCUUGCCCUGUAUUCAUCCAAGGUUCUCAAGAAAAAACCCUAAAUUCUACUGAAACACCAAUUCAACACUUUAGAGUCAAUCCCAGCUAUACUUUCAACCUAAUUUGUUCAAUUGAUGCAACACCCAUCUCCAAUUUAUGGAAACACUACAAUUAUAGCCAAGAACCCUAACUUAUGAUUUUCUAAUUUUGUUAACCAUACCCUAAUUCUUCAAUCGUUUCAGAAUCAAUUAUUGAUUCUUCUCCCUUACUCUCAACAACGAACUCCUCAUCCAAUUAAUCGAUCAAUAACAAACAAUUUCACAUAAUAUGGUUAGUUUGAUAAACCCUACAUCUGCUAUCAAUCAUCACUUGGAUGAAUUUGUUGAUGAGUUUUAUGCAAGAACAGUCAGCGCGAAGAGCAUGAAUCUGUUCAUGGGUUUUAUGAGAGAGAUGAUUUGGAGAAUCUUUCAGAUAUAUAGCAUCACUAGGAGUCUGAGAUGAUUGUUUGGUGGAAUUAAAAGAUGGGAGGAGUAAUGGAUUCUAGGGUUCUAUUAUGACUGAGGAAUUGAUGAUAUUGGCGAGAAUAAUAACAGAUUUGGUUCUGUCGUGGUCAGUGAAGAUUUAGGAAUUCGUGGUUUAUUUCAUGAACACAAAUCAGGGAAGAAAUGAAUUGGAUGCUACUGAAAGAUGAAUAGGAGAUAAGAAGAAUAAUAGAAUGGUGCUUGUCAUGGGAAUCAAAAAUAAAUUGGAUGCUUCUGGUGAAGAUUCCUGCGCUUCUUUAAUCUCAAAAUGAUGUUAAUUCUUUUUGAUUCGAUCUUUUCAUUGAUUUCAUUUGAGUAAAAUUAAGGUUUGAUUUCAUUGUAAUAGCCAAAUCGUAUAUCCACAUCAUGGGGUAUACUUGUAAACUCAUAAUUUCACAUUAUUUUUAAAUAUAAAACUAAUUAAAGUCA
This is a long non-coding RNA of Papaver somniferum (opium poppy), 1170 nucleotides long. RefSeq lists it as uncharacterized. The transcript is spliced from 2 exons. The record is from RefSeq and is a predicted model, not a curated record. NCBI's taxonomy places the organism in Eukaryota, Viridiplantae, Streptophyta, Magnoliopsida, Ranunculales, Papaveraceae.